Plutella xylostella (diamondback moth) is the source of this 955-nucleotide non-coding RNA. NCBI's taxonomy places the organism in Eukaryota, Metazoa, Arthropoda, Insecta, Lepidoptera, Plutellidae. The record is from RefSeq and is a predicted model, not a curated record.
AACCAUUCUCUGUCAGAACGUCUGGAGUAAAUGUGUGGUUAGAUUUUUCUUCCCGCCCGCGUGGCGCAGGCCGUAUUGGUACCAAGUUCCUUGCUUCAUAUUUCCUGUUACCAGAUACGUACCACAGACACCCACGCAGCAUCACACCAUGUGUACCUAACCUGAAUUGCCGAGUGAGUAAACUAGCAUUUCGUUGUUAUUCGAUUUCCGAUGACUUUGGAUUUCGAAAGCCAUCUGCCUUGUCUUUAUUUCUACACGUAGCAACGUCUAACCCCGCGUAUUUCUUUUACAGCAAUUUCAAUCCUGCCCGGUGAAGCGUGCGAUUGCCCGACGCGUGUCACCUGACCCAACCCCAAGAAGGUGUCGUUGGUGACCAGAGCCGUCAGCGAGCCACGAGCCGUCCGGAGCUCCUGUCCUGGCCCCGUCCGACAGUCCAGGUUGGCCGUUGUAUGUUCGUUGAGCGGAUACUGAGGAAUUUCCUUAGGAUUUCUAUUAAUCUUCAGCGGCAUCAGCCUUCUAACGCCGCUGCUGAAUGUAGGAUUGCAAAGGCAGAACCCGGGUGGACUCUAGCGGGUUAAAACCUUUAUUUUAUUUUAUUUUUUACUUCGUAGGGAGCCCCGUUAGACGGGCAGUAGUAUCUAAAUUGCACUUUGAACCUUUUGUAGGCGCUAGGCUAUCAACGUCCUUCGGUUACGGGGCCUUAACGUUAAACUGCUAUCCCAUUGAAGUAAUAUAGAAGUUUCUCUGGGGUUAAUACCAUCUUUCUAUCCCUGUGGCGUGAAACACAGGGGUAGAACCUUUGGUUUCCCCACUUUAAUGUAAUUUCCUUGCAAUACCUUGUAUACUUCAACCAGACAAUUAUAAGGACUUAAUCCCUGGUCUCAUUUUGGACCUAUUUGAGUUAUAAAAUAUUGUGUGAGGCAGGGUUUUGAUAAAUAAAUAUUAAUAACUGUAC